RNAcentral lists this ribosomal RNA (229 nucleotides) under uncultured bacterium. Its description in RNAcentral is "partial 16S ribosomal RNA". It matches the Rfam family "Bacterial small subunit ribosomal RNA", at positions 15 to 233 of the family's 1533-position model. The record is from RNAcentral.
GAUCAUGGCUCAGGAUGAACGCUAGCUACAGGCUUAACACAUGCAAGUCGAGGGGCAGCAUGGUCUUAGCUUGCUAAGGCCGAUGGCGACCGGCGCACGGGUGAGUAACACGUAUCCAACCUGCCGUCUACUCUUGGACAGCCUUCUGAAAGGAAGAUUAAUACAAGAUGGCAUCAUGAGUUCACAUGUUCAAAUGAUUAAAGGUAAUUCCGGUAGACGAUGGGGAGUG